Pelobates cultripes (western spadefoot toad) is the source of this 229-nucleotide non-coding RNA. The record is from the annotation of a GenBank genome assembly. Lineage: Eukaryota; Metazoa; Chordata; Amphibia; Anura; Pelobatidae.
GUGGAUUCCUGCACACUUAUCAGGCUGGUUUUAGCUCAUUUUGUGGCAUUACAGAGAGAACCUAAGCCAUUUGCAUAUCGGACUGAUCCUAUCAAUAUGGCAGUCAGAUCCAAAAUUCUCUGCACGUAAGAUACAGCGACCCCGGUCAACCAUUACAGCCUUGCAAUGCCUCGUCAGUGAGGUAUAGCCGAUACUCCUCUAGGCACCAUGAACAACAGGUCUACGUCUG